RNAcentral lists this long non-coding RNA (399 nucleotides) under Capsicum annuum. Its description in RNAcentral is "long non-coding RNA (CANN_LNC008923)". Lineage: Eukaryota; Viridiplantae; Streptophyta; Magnoliopsida; Solanales; Solanaceae. The record is from RNAcentral.
AGGAUUAAAGUGUGUGGAAUUGAAACCUCACCAAUUAGGUGAAAGUUCAGUAGUUAAUCAACUGAGCUACUCUGUUGUCUUCUUUUAAAAAAAAUGGGGGUAGGGUAAGAAGAAUGGGGGAGAGGACUCCAACGCGGGAAAUCAAAAUCUCAUCAACUAGGUGAAAGUUCAUUGAAACUUCACCAAUUAGGUGAAAGUUCAGUAGUUAAUCAACUGAGCUACUCUGUUGUCUUCUUUUAAAAAAAAUGGGGGUAGGGUAAGAAGAAUGGGGGAGAUGACUCCAACGCGGGAAAUCAAAAUCUCAUCAACUAGGUGAAAGUUCAUUGAAACUUCACCAAUUAGGUGAAAGUUCAGUAGUUAAUCAACUGAGCUACUCUGUUGUCUUCUUUUAAAAAAAAU